This 468-nucleotide ribosomal RNA is filed under the name uncultured bacterium. RNAcentral describes it as "partial 16S ribosomal RNA". It matches the Rfam family "Bacterial small subunit ribosomal RNA", at positions 28 to 507 of the family's 1533-position model. The record is from RNAcentral.
GACGAACGCUGGCGGCGUGCUUAACACAUGCAAGUCGAACGGAAAGGCCCUGCUUUUGUGGGGUGCUCGAGUGGCGAACGGGUGAGUAACACGUGAGUAACCUGCCCUUGACUUUGGGAUAACUUCAGGAAACUGGGGCUAAUACCGGAUAGGAGCUCCUGCUGCAUGGUGGGGGUUGGAAAGGUUCGGCGGUUGGGGAUGGACUCGCGGCUUAUCAGCUUGUUGGUGGGGUAGUGGCUUACCAAGGCUUUGACGGGUAGCCGGCCUGAGAGGGUGACCGGCCACAUUGUGACUGAGAUACGGCCCAGACUCCUACGGGAGGAAGCAGUGGGGAAUAUUGCACAAUGGGCGGAAGCCUGAUGCAGCAACGCCGCGUGCGGGAUGACGGCCUUCGGGUUGUAAACCGCUUUCGCCUGUGACGAAGCGUGAGUGACGGUAAUGGGUAAAGAAGCACCGGCUAACUACGUG